AUAACAGGAGACUCACUAGAGAAGACUUAAAGAUCUUUGCUAAUCCACUAACUAGCCCGGGGAGGAGCAGUGCAAGCUUCACCACAUUGCCUUGCCAUGUGCCUCAUCCCUGAUCUGGAUGGUGACCUCUGGGAGUGAGGGGCUAUUCUCAGUCUCCUGGCCCAUUUAAAUCCUUUGCUUCU
This 182-nucleotide small RNA is filed under the name Gopherus agassizii (Agassiz's desert tortoise). RNAcentral describes it as "TUC338 (ENSGAGG00000004065.1)". The record is from RNAcentral. Lineage: Eukaryota; Metazoa; Chordata; Testudines; Testudinidae.